This is a long non-coding RNA of Sebastes umbrosus (honeycomb rockfish), 1030 nucleotides long. RefSeq lists it as uncharacterized. The transcript has 2 exons. NCBI's taxonomy places the organism in Eukaryota, Metazoa, Chordata, Actinopteri, Perciformes, Sebastidae. The record is from RefSeq and is a predicted model, not a curated record.
GUCAUAUUUAUACAUGUACUGCACAGUUUAUAAGAAUCGACUGUGUAGCUUAGUGUUUUAUUUUUGUGGAAUGUCAAAUCUGAGUCGGCACGGUUGUGCAGUGGUUAGCACUAUCGCCUCAAAACGAGAGGGUUCCGGGUUCGAACCCGCCUUGGGCCCUUCUGUGUGGAGUUAGCGUGGGUUUUCUCCGGGUUCUCGUCCGAAGACAUGUAGGUUCACCAGAAACUCCUACAGCUCAGACUCCAGCGACCAGCCCGCCCUGGACAGACCGCCUGGCAUACAGUGGCUCCUCCUUCGGCCAGGAGCAGAGCUUCACCUCGCUGCUCCGCUGGGAGCCAACACCGUCACCACGCUGCUGGAGGCCCAGGCCGUAUUGAAGGAGCCCACUGGAAGGAUGUGAGGCACGGGAGAACCAGAACCAGGACUGCACGGGACAGACUGUCAGACCUUGCUGCAGUAAAAUGAGAGGUUUUCUAAAGGGAUUCUGGUACUCAGAAACACUACCAAUUUUUGUCCACAGGGACCACCAAAAUCGACACAAAUGGAAAGUUCCUCGUAGAGGGAUUCUUAUUGUAUUGUGCAUUGUAAUUCAGUAUUUAAAAGCUGCACUAAUCAAUAUUUUUAUAUGAACAAUAUCAAUAUGUAGUGUGGAAGGUGUUGCUCAUGGUCACGAACCUACAGAUAAUUAUCACCCGACAUUGCGGACCAUGCUCAUCAGAUCUGUGUAACUUUUUAGCAUCUACUCAUUGUUUUGGUUUGGCGACCAGUAAAAAGUUCAGCUGUUUCAAGCAAAAAUGCUCUGACAAACGCACUGUCUUCUACGGUGAACAUAUUGUAGUGCUUUUUUUUGUUUUGUUUGUUUUUUUCUGUUAAAGAGCUUGAUGUUUUUUUUCAAGAGUUGGUGGAGACCAAAAAGGAGUGUAAAUAGUAUUUUCACAGUUGGCUAGAAACAUGACUUGAAAUUAAUGCUAAUGUAGCACCUUGUCUGCAUAAAUAAACAACUAUUUGCUGUUAUGUACAGUAUAUAUAA